GAGGUGUCGUAAGCUAACGCGUUAAGCAAGGCGCCUGGGGAGUACGACCGCAAGGUUAAAACUCAAAGGAAUUGGCGGGGGAGCGCACAACCGGUGGAGCAUGUGGUUUAAUUCGAGACAAAGCGAAGGACCUUACCUGGGCUUGACAUGUACCUGCACGUCCUAAGAAAUUAGGAUUUCUUCGAGAGUGGUACACAGGUGAUGCAUGGCUGUCGUCAGCUCGUGUCGUGAGACGUCCGCUUAAGUGCGGUAACGAGCGCAACCCUUGUCUUCAGUUACACGUAUCUGGAGAAACUGCCCUGCGUAUAGCAGGGAGGAAGGAGAGGACGACGUCAAGUCAGCAUGUCCCUUACGUCCAGGGCAACACACAUCCUACAAUGGCUACUACAACGGGUCGCGAUGAGGUAACUCUGAGCUAAUCCUUAAAAAAGUAGCCUCAGUUCAGAUUGUGGGCUGCAAUUCGCCCACAUGAAGUCGGAAUCGGUAGUAAUCGCAGAUCAGCAGGCUGC
Molecule: ribosomal RNA, 509 nt
Filed under: uncultured organism
Description: bacterial SSU rRNA
Rfam family: Bacterial small subunit ribosomal RNA
Source: RNAcentral